This 475-nucleotide ribosomal RNA is filed under the name uncultured bacterium. RNAcentral describes it as "bacterial SSU rRNA". It matches the Rfam family "Bacterial small subunit ribosomal RNA", at positions 28 to 526 of the family's 1533-position model. The record is from RNAcentral.
GACGAACGCUGGCGGCGUGCUUAACACAUGCAAGUCGAGCGGUAAGGCCCUUCGGGGUACACGAGCGGCGAACGGGUGAGUAACACGUGGGUGACCUGCCCCCAACUCUGGGAUAAGCCCGGGAAACUGGGUCUAAUACCGGAUAUGACUACAUGUCGCAUGGUGUGUGGUGGAAAGUUUUUCGGUUGGGGAUGGGCCCGCGGCCUAUCAGCUUGUUGGUGGGGUGAUGGCCUACCAAGGCGACGACGGGUAGCCGGCCUGAGAGGGCGACCGGCCACACUGGGACUGAGACACGGCCCAGACUCCUACGGGAGGCAGCAGUGGGGAAUAUUGCGCAAUGGGCGAAAGCCUGACGCAGCGACGCCGCGUGGGGGAUGACGGCCUUCGGGUUGUAAAGCUCUUUCGCCCGGGACGAUAAUGACGGUACCAGAAGAAGAAGCCCCGGCUAACUUCGUGCCAGCAGCCGCAGUAACAC